UCUUUGGGAGGUUUAGGUAGGGUAGAUCUAGAAGGUUCAUCCGACAAAACGCAACAAAUCUGUGCAGCAUUUCAAACAUCAGACAGAUUACAGGAUACAGGGAAAUUCCUCACACAGUUGUAAGGUUCUGGUGGGGGAGGAAAGCCGGAGUUCCCGGAGAAAAACCACCAACCUACGGCCAGUAACUAGCGACUGCCCUACGUAGGCUGCAGCCCAAUGAUUGAGGGCUAGUGCUAGCAGAAUGUCAGAUGAUGAGGGCAAAUACAUAUCAAAGUAAUGUGCUGGCACAAGCGGCAGCGCGACGGUCUACUGACCUCAAUGUCAUGGCAACUGGAUCUGACGUACGAAGUUUCAUCUACAUUUUUUUGGACAACGGAUACCAGUUAUGUAAGGGAAAUAUAGAGGAAAUAUUUGCUGGUGGGAAACUCUCCGAAACUCUUAUUAAAAUGGCGGCAUAUG
Long non-coding RNA from Mizuhopecten yessoensis (Yesso scallop), 459 nucleotides. RefSeq lists it as uncharacterized. The record is from RefSeq and is a predicted model, not a curated record. The transcript has 3 exons. NCBI's taxonomy places the organism in Eukaryota, Metazoa, Mollusca, Bivalvia, Pectinida, Pectinidae.